RNAcentral lists this unclassified non-coding RNA (341 nucleotides) under soil metagenome. RNAcentral's name for it is "partial contains 5.8S ribosomal RNA, internal transcribed spacer 2, and large subunit ribosomal RNA". The stretch from base 1 to 120 matches the Rfam family "5.8S ribosomal RNA", at positions 35 to 154 of the family's 154-position model. The record is from RNAcentral.
GAUGAAGAACGCAGCGAAAUGCGAUAAGUAGUGUGAAUUGCAGAAUUCAGUGAAUCAUCGAAUCUUUGAACGCACAUUGCGCCCUUUGGUAUUCAAAAGGGCAUGCCUGUUCGAGCGUCAUUUGUACCCUCAAGCUUUGCUUGGUGUUGGGCGUCUUGUCUCUAGCUUUGCUGGAGACUCGCCUUAAAGUAAUUGGCAGCCGGCCUACUGGUUUCGGAGCGCAGCACAAGUCGCACUCUCUAUCAGCAAAGGUCUAGCAUCCAUUAAGCCUUUUUUUCAACUUUUGACCUCGGAUCAGGUAGGGAUACCCGCUGAACUUAAGCAUAUCAAUAAGCGGAGGA